This 253-nucleotide ribosomal RNA is filed under the name uncultured bacterium. Its description in RNAcentral is "partial 16S ribosomal RNA". It matches the Rfam family "Bacterial small subunit ribosomal RNA", at positions 524 to 776 of the family's 1533-position model. The record is from RNAcentral.
UACGAAGGGGGCUAGCGUUGUUCGGAAUUACUGGGCGUAAAGGGCUCGUAGGCGGCCAACUAAGUCAGACGUGAAAUCCCCAGGCUCAACCUGGGAACUGCGUCUGAUACUGGAUGGCUUGAAUUCGGGAGAGGGAUGCAGAAUUCCAGGUGUAGCGGUGAAAUGCGUAGAUAUCUGGAGGAAUACCGGUGGCGAAGGCGGCAUCCUGGACCGACAUUGACGCUGAGGAGCGAAAGCUAGGGGAGCAAACGGG